Molecule: long non-coding RNA, 321 nt
Filed under: Apteryx owenii (little spotted kiwi)
Lineage: Eukaryota; Metazoa; Chordata; Aves; Apterygiformes; Apterygidae
Description: lncRNA (ENSAOWG00000012035.1)
Source: RNAcentral
GGAACUAACUUUUGUUUGUUUUUUUUUAUAGUGAUGAUAUGGAUAGUUUUUGAUGGGGCAGGAAUGGGAAGUUGAUCUGUAUCUGAGAUUCUGACUCAUGUGAAGUACUGCACUGAAGAAGAUUGUGAGGGCUUUACAUGAUACGCAGAACACGGCCUUGCAUGGUGUGGUCUUGAUUCCUGUUGAAGGCACACUGGAUUAUGUUAACACAAAUAAUAGAAACUGAAGGAUUCUGCCAAUUACAAAGUAUUAUUUGAAAACUACAUACGCUUCCUAUUUUUUCACUGCUCUAGCUCUUCUGUAAACACAUAUUCAGAAAUA